RNAcentral lists this small RNA (1225 nucleotides) under Pongo abelii (Sumatran orangutan). RNAcentral's name for it is "retained intron". Lineage: Eukaryota; Metazoa; Chordata; Mammalia; Primates; Hominidae. The record is from RNAcentral.
UUUAAGAUAAUUCAAGAAUCAGGUUUUCAUAUGAAACAAUCGCAAUGCUUCGGCACUGCACAGGCCACAGAAGCCUGCAGCUGCCUCCGGCCCCGCCUGCCCCCGCUCCCCCAGGCCUGCCCUGCCCUUUUUCUUCUCUCCCUGCUUCUCCCUCGCCCUCAGCCCAGCAGCGUCUCCUGGCCAGUCCAGGCUUUCGGGGCCGGAUUGGGCAGCAGCCCCUGCAGCCGGUCCCACUGAGUCUGCCCUGCCUUCCAGAUUCUGGUACAGGUCAAAGAGGUCCUCUCCAAGCUGAGCACGCUCGUGGAAACCACACUCAAAGAGAGAAGAUUACAGUAUGCGGGGACACCCAUGGCCAGUUCUAUGACCUCCUCAACAUAUUCGAGCUCAACGGUUUACCCUCGGAGACCAACCCCUAUAUAUUUAAUGGUGACUUUGUGGACCGAGGCUCCUUCUCUGUAGAAGUGAUCCUCACCCUUUUCGGCUUCAAGCUUCUGUACCCAGAUCACUUUCACCUACUUCGAGGCAACCACGAGACAGACAACAUGAACCAGAUCUACGGUUUCGAGGGUGAGGUGAAGGCCAAGUACACAGCCCAGAUGUACGAGCUCUUUAGCGAGGUGUUCGAGUGGCUCCCGUUGGCCCAGUGCAUCAACGGCAAAGUGCUGAUCAUGCACGGAGGCCUGUUCAGUGAAGACGGCGUCACCCUGGAUGACAUCCGGAAAAUUGAGCGGAAUCGACAACCCCCAGAUUCAGGUGAGCAGCGUGGGGCCGGGUGUCUCCAGCAGAAAGGGCAGCCUGGGCUGAGCGCUCUCCUGCAACCCGGCCCUGCCUAGAGGAUGGGCUUUGUGCCCUUGGCAAGAAACAGCGGGUCUGAGCCUCAGUUGCCUCACCUGCAACCUGGGCCAGUGCACCUCCUUCACGGGGCUGUGGUGGCAAGCACGGUCGUGACCAUGGUGCGGGCUGAAGGCACGGUGACCGCCGAGCACAGCUGUCCUUAUUUAUUUGUGAGUUCAGCUGUGGACCCCUGGAGGGUCUUGGGGUUCCUGUGCUAGUGAUGGGCACACUUCAGAGAGUUCACCCACAGGUGCACACGCACAUGCACACUGUGAGUGCUGCAGAGGACGUGGAUUGGGUGGGCUGGUGCCGGGUGCUCGGGAAGGCCUCUCCAGGGAGGCGAGGUUUGAGCUGACACUGCAGGAAGCAGAGGCACCUGCCGUGCACAGAG